UCCAAAAUAGCUAAAAUUUUUAAAGCCUUGAUUUUGUAAAUCAAAGAUAGUUAAACUUUUUGGAA
RNAcentral lists this transfer RNA (65 nucleotides) under Carychium tridentatum. RNAcentral's name for it is "tRNA-Thr". Lineage: Eukaryota; Metazoa; Mollusca; Gastropoda; Ellobiida; Ellobiidae. The record is from RNAcentral.